Long non-coding RNA from Chinchilla lanigera (long-tailed chinchilla), 744 nucleotides. RefSeq lists it as uncharacterized. The transcript is spliced from 4 exons. NCBI's taxonomy places the organism in Eukaryota, Metazoa, Chordata, Mammalia, Rodentia, Chinchillidae. The record is from RefSeq and is a predicted model, not a curated record.
GGGCCUGGGUGGGGCGGGGUCUGGACGGGGCGGGGUCAGGUGAGGAAAUUGAGGCUCGAUAGCGCGCCUGCCAAAGCAAGCUCUGCGGGGAUGGGAUCUAGAAAGGCGUUCCCCUCCUUGGGAACCUCUGUUUCUCCAUCUGUAAAAUGGGCCAACUCAUUAGCACCGUGCCUCGCUUAUGCUGCGUUUACAGACCAGGCUGAUGCAGCUUAUGCCCCGCCCCCUUUUACAAAGGAGGAACCCCGUGGGGGAAAGGAUGACUAACUUGCCCGAGAUCACACGGCUCAGAAUGUUCGUCUGUGUGUUUGGAGAAGCAGUCUUGGGAGCAUGAACGCCAGAACCACUUGGCCCGAGUUCAGUUCUGACUCUGCCACUUCCUGUCGGAGCAAACUUCAGACCUCUGUGCACCCGGUUUCUUGGUCUGUAAAAUGGGAGAGCCGAAGUUGUCUUGGAAAAUGGACCUGCUCCCAGGAGCCUGCCCCUGCCCUUUCAUCUGACCGCAUCCCACCGGACUCUUGCGCUGCCUCUGCACCGCCCGCUGUCACUCACACUCCGCCCGCCCACUGGCGGCUCCAAACCCAUCUGCACAGCAGGGCCAGGACAGCCUGGCCCAGCCCCCCGGAGAUGAUGCCAUCCCAUUGCUUCCACCGGCCCAGUUACCUCUGGCAAGCAAGACCAAAAGGAAGCGAACCUGAGAGAGAGGGUGCUGCAGAUUGGACCCAGGACCUUUGCACUGAGCUGCCA